Molecule: ribosomal RNA, 385 nt
Filed under: uncultured bacterium
Lineage: Bacteria
Description: bacterial SSU rRNA
Rfam family: Bacterial small subunit ribosomal RNA
Source: RNAcentral
UAUCUACCCUUUGGCCUGGAAUAACACGAGGAAACUUGUGCUAAUACCGGAUAAGUCUUUACGGAGAAAGCUUUAUGCACCAUUGGAUGAGCCUGCACUUGAUUAGUUUGUUGGUGGGGUAAUGGCCUACCAAGACUGUGAUCAAUAGCUGAUUUGAGAGGAUGAUCAGCCACAUUGGGACUGAGACACGGCCCAAACUCCUACGGGAGGCAGCAGUGGGGAAUCUUGCACAAUGGAGGAAACUCUGAUGCAGCGAUGCCGCGUGAGUGAAGAAGGCCUUUGGGUUGUAAAGCUCUUUCGUCGGGGAAGAAAAUGACUGUACCCGAAUAAGAAGGUCCGGCUAACUUCGUGCCAGCAGCCGCGGUAAUACGAAGGGACCUAGCGU